RNAcentral lists this ribosomal RNA (302 nucleotides) under uncultured bacterium. RNAcentral's name for it is "partial 16S ribosomal RNA". It matches the Rfam family "Bacterial small subunit ribosomal RNA", at positions 508 to 809 of the family's 1533-position model. The record is from RNAcentral.
GCAGUAGCCGCGGGAACACGUAGGUGGCAAGCGUUGUCCGGAAUUAUUGGGCGUAAAGCGCGCGCAGGCGGAUAGGUCAGUCUGUCUUAAAAGUUCGGGGCUUAACCCCGUGAUGGGAUGGAAACUGCCAAUCUAGAGUAUCGGAGAGGAAAGUGGAAUUCCUAGUGUAGCGGUGAAAUGCGUAGAUAUUAGGAAGAACACCAGUGGCGAAGGCGACUUUCUGGACGAAAACUGACGCUGAGGCGCGAAAGCCAGGGGAGCGAACGGGAUUAGAUACCCGCGUAGUCCCUGUCUCUUAUACA